GAUUAACGCUGGCGGCGUGCCUAACACAUGCAAGUCGAGCGGCAGCGAGUUUUACACUGAAUUCUGGAAGCUUCUAGUUGAAAGAGAAGAUUUAUUCAAGAAUUUUGUGUAAAAUGUCGGCGAGCGGCGGACGGCUGAGUAACGCGUGGGAACGUACCCCAAAGUGAGGGAUAACGCAUCGAAAGGUGUGCUAAUACCGCAUAUGGUCUUCGGAUUAAAGCCUUCGGGCGCUUUGGGAACGGCCUGCGUAAGAUUAGAUAGUUGGUGGGGUAAUGGCCUACCAAGUCGACGAUCUUUAACUGGUUUGAGAGGAUGAUCAGUCAGACUGGAACUGAGACACGGUCCAGACUCCUACGGGGGGCAGCAGUGAGGAAUCUUCCACAAUGGGCGAAAGCCUGAUGGAGCAACGCCGCGUGCAGGAUGAAGGCCUUCGGGUUGUAAACUGCUUUUAUAAGUGAGGAUUAUGACAGUAACUUAUGAAUAAGGAUCGGCUAACUACGUG
This 502-nucleotide ribosomal RNA is filed under the name uncultured bacterium. Its description in RNAcentral is "partial 16S ribosomal RNA". It matches the Rfam family "Bacterial small subunit ribosomal RNA", at positions 28 to 507 of the family's 1533-position model. The record is from RNAcentral.